This 343-nucleotide unclassified non-coding RNA is filed under the name soil metagenome. RNAcentral's name for it is "partial contains 5.8S ribosomal RNA, internal transcribed spacer 2, and large subunit ribosomal RNA". The stretch from base 1 to 120 matches the Rfam family "5.8S ribosomal RNA", at positions 35 to 154 of the family's 154-position model. The record is from RNAcentral.
GAUGAAGAACGCAGCGAAAUGCGAUAAGUAAUGUGAAUUGUAGAAUCCAGUGAAUCAUCGAAUCUUUGAACGCACAUUGCGCCCGCCAGCAUUCUGGCGGGCAUGCCUGUUCGAGCGUCAUUUCAACCCUCGACCUCCCCUUGGGGAGGUCGGCGUUGGGGACCGGCAGCACACCGCCGGCCCUGAAAUGGAGUGGCGGCCCGUCUGCGGCGACCUCUGCGUAGUAAUACAGCUCGCACCGGAACCCCGACGCGGCCACGCCGUAAAACACCCAACUUCUGAACGUUGACCUCGAAUCAGGUAGGACUACCCGCUGAACUUAAGCAUAUCAAUAAGCGGAGGA